Molecule: ribosomal RNA, 271 nt
Filed under: uncultured bacterium
Lineage: Bacteria
Description: partial 16S ribosomal RNA
Rfam family: Bacterial small subunit ribosomal RNA
Source: RNAcentral
UCUAUGUCGGCGACCGGCGCACGGGUGCGUAACGCGUAUGCAACCUACCCAUUACAGGGGGAUAACACUGAGAAAUCGGUACUAAUACCCCAUAACAUCCAGGGAGGCAUCUUCUUGGGUUGAAAACUCCGGUGGUAAUGGACGGGCAUGCGUUGUAUUAGUUAGUUGGUGGGGUAACGGCUCACCAAGACAACGAUACAUAGGGGGACUGAGAGGUUAACCCCCCACAUUGGUACUGAGACACGGACCAGACUCCUACGGGAGGCAGCAG